UGCACAACCUGAACCAGGGAAUUCAGCAGGGAUAUGAACCUCGGAGUACCGGAGCACCUGGAGAGGCGACCUUGCCUAGCUCCAGCGGACUGCUUAAUCUACAGGAGACUAGCCCUCCCAGCGUGUUGGGGUGAGGACCCCGUGUGCACCAGUGGAACCAGCCCCAGGAACCAGCUCAGAGAGCACCGCCCAUCCUACGGUUUCUUCUUACAAUGGGCCUUCUUACAAUGGGCCAUUCAAACGGACAAUUCCUUCUUACAAUGGGCCAUUCAAAGGGACCACCACAGACAUUGGAGUUACAAACCAGGAAGACCAAUCUGACUCCUGCUGCCUGUUCCCACUCUCAUCUGAGGAUGCUUCAAGCCUGACAUCUAAAAAUCUCACUGGCAGCACUGGUAGACACUAGGUUUGUAAUUUGCUCUAACCAUUAACCUCUAUUUUUCUUGAUUCCAUAAAAGUACAUCUUAUUAAUUACCUGAUUGCUUACUGAACAAAACAGAGUCUAUGUGAUGGCUAUACACCACCUGUUACACAGUUAAGGCCUUAAAUGACUCUAAAAAUAACAUUAUAUUGUUAAAUACUAAAAUAACUCAAAUGCAUAAAACAGUCCUACAAAAUAGACUGGCAUUAGAUGUUUUAACUGAUGCACAGGGUGGAACUUAAGCUCUCAUAAAAACAAACUGCUGUGUAUCCAUUCCAGAUUACCACAAAAAUAUUUCUGGAUUUCUAACUGACAUGAAUACUCAAAUUGGCGCUUUAAACAAUCUCUCUCUUUCCUUUAAUGAUUCGUUAAACUCCCGGACUGGAGGAUUUUUGUCAGCUACCAAAGGACUUCCAUUUGGGCUAAUCUUUCUAGUUAUUCUAAUUAUGUUUUGCUGUUUUCUCCCAUGUCUCUCUGCCUGGUACCAAACCUCCAUGACUGCAAUAACUUCAAGCCAACAGAUGAUCCUUUCUACUCAAGGAGGUUCAUACAUGUUGCCCAAUUGGAUUCAGCUGCCUCUGUCUUUUGUAACUCCCCUAUAUGUUCCCUGACUGACCAAUAUUGACCGAUAUACGUAGGGACAACUCUAUGUCCCUACUCAGCAGGAAGAUGCUACAGAAGAUGAGACCUUCCACCUUCAGCAACCUUAAAGAUUUAACGGUCAAAAUUGUUCAGGGAGGAUAUGAUGAGGGAGCAUAAGGCAGGCUGAGGGCAAAAUACAGGCUGGCACCACCAACCACCCCCCCCCCACCCCCAGGUAGAAUAUGUGUGAUAUCCCUCGGACACUCCUGGC
Prionailurus viverrinus (fishing cat) is the source of this 1274-nucleotide long non-coding RNA. RefSeq lists it as uncharacterized. The transcript has 3 exons. The record is from RefSeq and is a predicted model, not a curated record. NCBI's taxonomy places the organism in Eukaryota, Metazoa, Chordata, Mammalia, Carnivora, Felidae.